CCUACGGGCGGCAGCAGUGGGGAAUAUUGCACAAUGGGGGGAACCCUGAUGCAGCGACGCCGCGUGGGUGAAGGAGUAUUUCGGUAUGUAAAGCCCUAUCAGCAGGGAAGAACAAUGACGGUACCUGACUAAGAAGCACCGGCUAAAUACGUGCCAGCAGCCGCGGUAAUACGUAUGGUGCAAGCGUUAUCCGGAUUUACUGGGUGUAAAGGGAGCGCAGGCGGCGCGUUAAGCCUGGUGUGAAAGUCCGCGGCCCAACCGCGGGACUGCAUUGGGAACUGGCGCGCUGGAGUGCCGGAGGGGUAGGCGGAAUUCCUAGUGUAGCGGUGAAAUGCGUAGAUAUUAGGAGGAACACCAGUGGCGAAGGCAGCAUACCGGCGCUCAACUGACGCUCAUGCACGAAAGUGUGGGUAUCGAACAGGAUUAGAUACCCCUGUAGUC
Molecule: ribosomal RNA, 441 nt
Filed under: uncultured bacterium
Lineage: Bacteria
Description: partial 16S ribosomal RNA
Rfam family: Bacterial small subunit ribosomal RNA
Source: RNAcentral